RNAcentral lists this ribosomal RNA (747 nucleotides) under Hypericum fauriei. RNAcentral's name for it is "eukaryotic LSU rRNA". The stretch from base 301 to 456 matches the Rfam family "5.8S ribosomal RNA". The record is from RNAcentral. Lineage: Eukaryota; Viridiplantae; Streptophyta; Magnoliopsida; Malpighiales; Hypericaceae.
CGACAAUGAUCCUUCCGUAGGGUGAAUCUGUGGAAGGAUCAUUGUCGAAACCUGCAAAUGACCCGCGAACUAGUUAUCAACAUGUCGGGGGUGACGGGCCAAUCCCCGUGACCCUCGUGCGGCCGAAGGCGGCCAGGGGUGCCAAGCUGUUGGCAAACCUGGCCCACCUCCGGCCCAACAAACCAACCCCGGCGCGGCACGCGCCAAGGAACCCUGUAAUAAAAGAAGGAUCACGCUCCCGCCCGUGCCGGAAACCGGAUAAUGCGGUCGGGUGGCCAUCCUCCUGUUCAUAACAAAAACGACUCUCGGCAACGGAUAUCUAGGCUCUUGCAUCGAUGAAGAACGUAGCGAAAUGCGAUACUUGGUGUGAAUUGCAGAAUCCCGUGAACCAUCGAGUCUUUGAACGCAAGUUGCGCCCGAAGCCUUCUGGCCAAGGGCACGUCUGCCUGGGUGUCACACAUCGUCGCCCCCAAUCCCGAUACCACACCGUGGCUACUCGGGCAGAGGAUGGGCGGAUAAUGGUCUCCCGUGCGCACCCGCUCGCGGUUGGCCCAAAGAGAAGUUCCUGGCGAUUGCAAGCCACGACCAGCGGUGGUUGAAAGGCCCUCGACGGGAGUCGUGAGCACCUGCAUCGCAUGUUGGGACAUGCUGACCCCGAUCCUGUUCGAUGCUUCGAACAAUCACAAAGUGACCCCAGGUCAGGCGGGACUACCCGCUGAGUUUAAGCAUAUCAAUAAGCCGGAGGAA